CUACAACAAUUUCGUACUAUAAUUGACAGAUAUGGAUCGGAGUUGGAUGUAUGAAAAACGCACUACAUUCAAAUAUAUACAAGGGGUUCAAGAGUUUAUAGAAUGUGCUGAA
Ipomoea nil (Japanese morning glory) is the source of this 112-nucleotide long non-coding RNA. RefSeq lists it as uncharacterized. The transcript is spliced from 3 exons. The record is from RefSeq and is a predicted model, not a curated record. Lineage: Eukaryota; Viridiplantae; Streptophyta; Magnoliopsida; Solanales; Convolvulaceae.